AACUUUUAGCAACGGAUCUCUUGGUUCUGGCAUCGAUGAAGAACGCAGCGAAAUGCGAUAAGUAAUGCGAUUUGCAGAAUUCCAGUGAGUCAUCGAAUCUUUGAAGGAACAUUGCGCCCUUUGGUAUUCCGAAGGGCAUGCCUGUUCGAGCGUCAUUAUCACCCCUCAAGCCCCCGGCUUGGUGUUGGACGGUUUGGUUGAGGCCCCUUGCGGGUUCCUACCCCUCCCAAAGACAAUGACGGCGGCCUCGUUGGACCCCCGGUACACUGAGUUCUUCACGGGACACGUAUCGGACACAUGGGUUUACGGGACACGGUCUGCCUCCCCUCAGGGAGAAUAUUUCUUAAGGUUGACCUCGGAUCAGGUAGGGAUACCCGCUGAACUUAAGCAUAUCAAUAAGCGGAGGGU
RNAcentral lists this unclassified non-coding RNA (408 nucleotides) under uncultured Exophiala. Its description in RNAcentral is "sequence contains ITS2". The stretch from base 1 to 155 matches the Rfam family "5.8S ribosomal RNA". Lineage: Eukaryota; Fungi; Ascomycota; Eurotiomycetes; Chaetothyriales; Herpotrichiellaceae. The record is from RNAcentral.